ACGCUCGACACCUACGGGAGGCGGCAGUGGGGAAUAUUGCACAAUGGGGGAAACCCUGAUGCAGCGACGCCGCGUGAGUGAAGAAGUAUUUCGGUAUGUAAAGCUCUAUCAGCAGGGAAGAAGAUGACGGUACCUGAGUAAGAAGCCCCGGCUAACUACGUGCCAGCAGCCGUGGUAAUCUGAGCGGGCUGGCAAGGC
This 198-nucleotide ribosomal RNA is filed under the name uncultured bacterium. RNAcentral's name for it is "partial 16S ribosomal RNA". It matches the Rfam family "Bacterial small subunit ribosomal RNA", at positions 328 to 539 of the family's 1533-position model. The record is from RNAcentral.